AUCUAUGGCCAUACCACCCUGAACGCGCCCGAUCUCGUCCAAUCUCAGAAACUAAGCAGGGUCGGGCCUGGUUAGUACUUGGGCGGGAGACCGCCUGGGAAUACCAGGUGCUGUAGGCU
Ribosomal RNA from Capra hircus (goat), 119 nucleotides. Lineage: Eukaryota; Metazoa; Chordata; Mammalia; Artiodactyla; Bovidae. The record is from Ensembl.